UACAGAGGGUGCGAGCGUUGUCCGGAAUCAUUGGGCGUAAAGGGCGCGUAGGUGGCGCUCCAAGUCUGUGGUGAAAGCUCGACGCUCAACGUCGAGUCGGCCAUAGAGACUGGAGGGCUCGAGCACUGUAGGGGCAGAUGGAAUUCCGGGUGUAGCGGUGGAAUGCGUAGAGAUCCGGAAGAACACCAGUGGCGAAGGCGGCUCACUGGACCGGGACUGACGCUGAGGCGCGAAAGCGUGGGGAGCAAACGGG
RNAcentral lists this ribosomal RNA (253 nucleotides) under uncultured bacterium. RNAcentral describes it as "partial 16S ribosomal RNA". It matches the Rfam family "Bacterial small subunit ribosomal RNA", at positions 524 to 776 of the family's 1533-position model. The record is from RNAcentral.